Molecule: long non-coding RNA, 491 nt
Organism: Vigna angularis (adzuki bean)
Lineage: Eukaryota; Viridiplantae; Streptophyta; Magnoliopsida; Fabales; Fabaceae
Exons: 4
Source: RefSeq, a predicted model, not a curated record
UGUGCUAGACCCUUGCUGUAGCCACCGGAGCAUCGCCGGAGUGUCGCCAGACCCUUUCAAGAAACUGCAGUGGUAGCAAAGACAAAAUAAGUGAGGACUUCAGGCAAAUAUUUUGCACAACCAGGUCAACUACGUUGCAGUAUGAUUGUGGAGUUAUUGUUUUGAGAUUUAUGGAGUUGUGGGAUGUCGCUGAGGAAUACGAAAGCAACACAAUGCCCACCUACAGAAAUGUAAGGAGGAACUGCAAUAGGUUAGGAAGAAAUAUGUUUGUGAUUGGAUGUUGGAUGUGGACAAUGUGCGGAGGGAUGAAGUGUUGCAAGAUUUAGGCCUUAUGUAGAUGUUGAAUAGGGAUUUUUGCAAUGUGAUUGAUGUUUUGUUUACAACCUUUUGAAUAUGUAUUGAUGACGUCUGAAUGUACAUACUUUUUUGCUAGAAAUGUUCAAAGAAAUGUAUUGGUUACAUUUAUUGAUAAUCAAAUUUGAAGAUGAGAA